Long non-coding RNA from Anolis carolinensis (green anole), 5721 nucleotides. RefSeq lists it as uncharacterized. Lineage: Eukaryota; Metazoa; Chordata; Lepidosauria; Squamata; Anolidae. The record is from RefSeq and is a predicted model, not a curated record. The transcript has 2 exons.
UCAACGGGCCGGCUUGAACGUUGGACAGGCGAAUAUGUUGGAUACUAAGGAGAGAUUAAGGAAAAGCCUAUUAAAGAUCAAAUUAGGUUAUGAUUUUACAAAUUAAGCCCCAAAACAUCACGUUUUACAACAAAUUUGACAGAAAAAGUAGUUCAAUACGCAGUCAUGCUAUGUUGUAAUUACUGUAUUUACGAAUUUAGCACCAAAAUAUCACAAUGUAUUGAAAACAUUGACUACAAAAAUGCGUUGGAUAAUCCAGAACGUUGGAUAAGCGAGUGUUGGAUCAGUGAGACUCUAGUACCCAAUAUUGCCAUAUCAUGAAGAGUUUCGUGGCCGGAAUCGCUGGCUUGCUGUGAGUUUCCCGGGCUGUACAGCCAUGGUCCUGAAGCAUUCUCUCCUGAUGUUUUGCCCACACCUGUGGCAGGCGUCCCCAGAGGUUGUGAGGUCUGUUGGGAACUAGACAAGUGGGGUUGAUAUAUCCAAAAGGAUUGUAAUAGUCAGCAAAUUCCAUUGUCAGUUAGCUUUCUGCGCAUGCUCUGUAAAAUGGUAUAAAUUGGAAAGCCACGACAGGCAAGGGGUGGCAUUGCGUUUUCUGGGCAUUAGCUAACAUGGUCACCUGCUCUUGGCCAAAAGUCAACUAUCUUGAAGACAACUUCUGCUGUCAGUCUGCUUUCUUCACCCGCGUCCAAACGAAAUUCCACAACCAAUUGGUGACCCCGACGUGAUCUCGGGCCGGGUGAGUGUGAAAGGGACUCGAGGCCAUUUGGGGGCCUACCCGACGUCCACUCGGGGCGAGCAGGGAGAACGCACAGGGGAAAAGCGAGAAGGGUACUGUAGAGAUGCUGAGGUGACAGGGAAUGGAAUCCCUUUGGAAUCCCUCAGCUAUGCCACCAAUAUGUACAGAGGUGAGGUGUCUGACAGGAAGUGUGACAGAGAUGGAAUCCUUUUGAUUCCACACACACACACACACAGAUGCCACCACUUAAUAAAGAUGUCUUAUGAGAGAUAAUGUUAAUUAAUUACUUGUUGACUAUCUUCUUCUUCGCUGCCACCAAUAGAGGAGACUUCAGGCAGAUGGUACUGGUUCUUAUAAGCUUUCUCUAGUUGUUCCACUUUAGAUGUUGAUGUUACUUAACUUAAUAUAAGAGUAUGACAGAGGCUUGGUUAGAGUAAAAUCAAAACAAGUUCAUUGCAGGUACAGAGCUUGAUGGUUUCAGAUAACUUGGUAAAGGCACUUCGCUUAAUGGUUACAAACGGUUAUGAGGUGGUCAAACUUCCAAAAUAUUCCUUUCUUUAAGUUACACUAAACCCUGAUCCUACUGGAUCCCCUGGGAUUAAUUCUCCCUAAUCCACAGGCUCUAUAAAGACCCUAGACAAAUCACCUAACUUGCCUAGUCUGGUCUAACCUAAAUCUGACUCAAAUCUUCCUAUUUAAGCCAGCCUGAUUCUCCACACAAGAAUCAGAUCCUUCCCUGUGACUAGGAAAUCACAGACUGCUUCUGGGUUUUAAAAUAUUCCCCUCUUCCUUUCCAGGCGGCGGUUGGCUGUUGCUAUGGUAACCUGUUCUAGCACUCUAAGAUGGCUACCUUCCCCCAUACAUAAUGUCAAUUCAAAUACUCACCAUUUUAAACUUAGCCAAACCUGACUGUUUAAACAAAAUCAAAUACACAUUUCAUCUAUAUACAAAAUAUAAUUAUACACUUCUUCACACAAAUACUUGUGGGUACCCACAAAUCACAAGCCGCUGACCCCCUCUCGUCCUCCCUGCUCUUGCUACCGACUGGGGUGGUGGAGACACGGAGAAGUUGUUUUGAAGAACAAGUAGGGCCAGCGCUGACAGGAAAAGCUCGAUCCACAGGGAAGGUAUGGAAAGGGGACGUUUAGCUGCAGAGAAAAGAGUCCUAAUAGAGAAACCUAAUAGAGCAGGCGCUUCUCCAAUGAGAGGACUUGUCCCCGGAGGAACUUGAUCGAGCAGGCUCUCCUCCACCAAAAGGGUAAUCCAGUGGGAUCUUGGGGGCAAGACCCAUACAGAUAGGACACAUUUCCAGGAGAGGAUGACAUGUGUAUGUCAAUGGUGGAGCUGUUUUAAAGGUGAGUUGAUUGACUAGUUCAGAGGUAUUGUUUCUGUAUACUUAAAGUCCAGGGGACUUUUGACCUGGCAAGGCUUCUGUAAUAUUUCUCACUGAAUGGUUUAGAAUGAGCUCUAAAUUUAUAACGGCGUUAAAUCCUCAAAAGGGUCUUAACUGUAUAUAUACUGGAAGACUAUUUCUUUGUUAAUAUGCAUAGGUAUGUAAGAAAAUGUCAGAGCAAAAAAGACUAUGUUUGUUUAGAAUGAAUGUGUAUGUGCAAGGCCGGCAUGUUUGAAAAGGUGUGAAGUGAAAGACUGUAAAUUCUCUGUAUAUUUGGCUGAAUAUUUUUAGAAAGAAGAGAGGCUUUUCUGUGUUUUGAAAGAAAGAAACUUGCAGUUGAGUAGUCUAUUGAAAUGUGUGGCUGGAUGGCCAUCUGUCAGGGUGCUUUGAAUGUGAUUUUCCUGCUUCUUGGUGGUGGGGUUGGACUGGAUGGCCCACAAGGUCUCUUCCAAUUCUAUAAUUCUAUAUGCGUGUCAGCUGAGGUCAGCUGUAUUAUGUUUUUGACCGUUGUUUAUGGUCACCCCUUUCUCUAUAACUGUUUAUAAAACUAUAAAAAGGUAUUAAAGGAGGAUCCUUGUUACUUCUCCUAAAUAAUGCAUGCUUAGGAAUAGGAAAAAUAUUUAUACAUGUGAGCAUCAUAUUUUAAAUAUCUUUUGUGCAUAUGCAUUGAUGAUCAGAAAUGCAAUUGUGUAUGUACAAACACACACACACAACCACAACAGGGACAGGUUGUUUUAAAAGAAAGCUAUGUCAAGAUUUUUCAGAUUCCUAUUUUAAAAUUACACAAUGAAAAGAUAGCUGUGAUCCACAUUUAUUUUCAUACCUCCGUGAAGAGUUGUCUUUCUGCCUGUUUCAUCAGGUUUCAUUAAUUCCACUAGAUUUUUCUUCUGGACACGUCAGUAAAUUCUAUAACCAUUUGAAUGGUCAAUGUAAUGGGCCAGCCAAGAUCUUCAGAGACCAAAAAUUUGCCUCUGUUGCCCUUCCAUCCAAGCAUAUUUCCAUUUUGGUUGCUGUUUGUUGCAGUCUAGUACACUUAGCUUAAGGAAAAUAGAACAGGGAGUCCACAAAAAUGGCUAGAAAUGAGAUGUAGAAAUAAAUCUUCGUUCUUACAAAAUAUUUGUUAAUGAAAGGUAAAAAGAGACUGGACUUGGAAAAUCUGGGCGCUAUGCCCAGAAGUGAGAGGUCAAUUUUGAGCAGAUAAGAGUGAUGUCCUGGCCAUCGGCCCAGGAAAAAGAUAGUGAAAAUACAAAUAUUGCACUGGGGGGGAAAGUGAAAUAGGCUGAAGAGGUUUCUGUGGAUUAGAAUCCCCAGAAUCCCCGUAUGAAGGAAGAAAAAGGAUCCUUGGUGUAGUAGCUUGUUGUUGUAUGGUUUUGUUUUUAGAUGCAAAAAGCUUCAAGAGAUUAAAACGUUGUUUAAGAAUGUUUAAAGAAAGUUAGUGAAGAGAUGGGUUGUAGUGAAAGUUAGUGAAGAGAUUGCUGUGGUCUAAAUGAAAGGCAUUUUUUUUAAAAAAAGGCAAAGGUUUGGGAGCAAAAUUGCCAGGAGAGAGUUUGUGUCAGAGGAAAAGUGAAGUGAGAAGAGAAAUAGAGUUGUUGUUAGAAGAGGAGGGAUUUUAAAUCAGCUAUAAGUCAGAAAAGAAAAGUGAAGUGAGAAGAGAAAUAGAGUUGUUGUUAGAAGAGGAGGGAUUUUAAAUCAGCUAUAAGUCAGAAAAGAAAAGGUAAUAUAUAUUUAAAUAUUCUGGAGAGAGGGGGCUCUUGUCUGGUUGAGGCACGUGUGAAUGUUGCGGUUUGCCACCUUGAUUGGUGUUUAGUGGCCUUGUAGUUUCGGGGCCUGGCUGGUUACUGCCUGGGAGGGGGACUUUUGUUGAGAGGUGUUGGCUGCCCCUGAUUGGUUUUUAUCUGGAAUUCACCCUGUUUUUUGAAUGUUGCUCUUUAUUUGCUUUCCUGAUUUUAGAGUUUUUUUUUAUUCCUGGUGGCCAGAUUUUUGUUCAUUUUCAUUGUUUCCUCCUUUCUGUUGAAAUUGUCCACAUGCUUGUGGGUUUCAGUGGCUUCUCUGUGUGGCCUGACAUGGUGGUUGUUGAAGUGUUCCAUCGUUUCUGUGUUCUCAAAUAAUAUGUUGUGCCCAGGUUGGUUCAUCAGGUGCUUUGCUAUGGCUGACAUCCCAGGUUGAGUGAGUUACUCUGUGGGGCCUUUCAUGUUCCUUGAUUUGUGUUUGGGCAACUGCCCCAUGUAAGCCGCCCCGAGUCCCCGUGGGGAGUUGGUGGCGGGAUAUAAAUAAAGUUUUUAUUAUUAUUAUUAUUAUUAUUAUUAUUAUUAUUAUUAUUAUUAUUAUUAUGCUGCAUUUGGUGGUCCCUAUGUGAACUUGUCAUCAGCUGCAUGGUAUACGGUAGACUCUUGCAGAGGCGAGAGGAUCUCUCUUGUCCUUUGCUGAACAUAGCAUUUGUUGGAUUUUCUUAGUAGAUCUGUAGAUUGUUUGUAUGUUGUGUUUCUUUAUCAGUUCCGUUAUGUGGUCAGUGGUUCAAACAUGAGCCUUCUUAUGUUUGUGAUUCAGGAGCCAAACUUAUGUUGUAUACUGUGAUUCAUGUUGAAGCAAAUCUGUGUUGUUCUAUAAUGUAGAAACUUGAAUAUUUGAAAUGGUGGCCUUUCCCUUCUUCUUAAAGGUUAGGAGACCCGCCUCACGAAAUGUGAUAUUAGUAUCUGUGUUCCUGAAUUUCAGUAGUCCUUUAUUUGGAUCUUAUAGUAACAGUAAAGUGAGGGUUUGUGAUACAUGGUUUAAGCAGUUUCCUCCCUCUCUUUCAGUUAUAUGGGGUUAAUGGUUAAAGCAUUGUGUUUUAUUCUGCUUUAUUUAAAUCCUGGGUUAUCUUACUAUAAUCGGGCCUCUUCCACUGGGUAUAUUUGCAUUAGGGCUCUAAAGUCAAAAGGACAUGGAGAACCAAAAAGAGAAAAAAGGAGAAAAGGCUCCUGUUUUGAUCAAGAUUCAAAGGGGGGAGGUGAUCCAGGAAAGAAAAGGCUUCAGAAGAUGAUAUGCAUGUAUAGGAUCUGAGAACUUUUAUGAUUGUUAAUUGUAUUUAUUUAAAUUGCAGGAGAAUAAGGAAAGUACUGGAGACAUCAGAAAAAGCCUUUUUUGAAGGCUGGCAAGUGAACUAACAACUUUGUUUAAGUUUAACAGGAAUUUAAAGUGGCCACCAUCUAUAGAAGACCACGUUUAUGAAGAAAAUUGCAAUUGCCAUAAUACAUUGGGAGUUACAGUAUCAAUUGAAUAAGAAAUAAUAUGCACAUAUUGUUUGUGUUUUGUAGUUUUCAAAAGAACCAGAAUAGGAAAAAAGGAGUACAUUAAAAAAAACACACAUGCUGGAAAUGAUGACAUUGGUUAUUCAUAAUUUUGUGUCAAUGAUUACUGACUAUAUAUGUUUGUUUCAGAAAGUCAGAGCUGGCAGCCUCAGAUUUCAGGAAUAAACAGAAUUUGCUCAUUUCAAGAGAAUUAAUGAUUAAUGGUACAGGGAAAAGGGAGUGCAAACAUUGCUUUUACAGCAUUAAGAAAGGUACAGUGGAACUGGGGUUCAAAUCACAUACACAUGGUUAAUCAAAAGUUAAAA